Molecule: ribosomal RNA, 253 nt
Filed under: uncultured bacterium
Lineage: Bacteria
Description: partial 16S ribosomal RNA
Rfam family: Bacterial small subunit ribosomal RNA
Source: RNAcentral
UACGUAGGGUCCAAGCGUUAUCCGGAAUCACUGGGCGUAAAGCGUGCGUAGGUGGAUGUUUAAGUGUGAUGUUAAAUCGUGGGGCUCAACCCUGUCGGUGCAUCGCAUACUGGACGUCUAGAGGACAGCAGAGGCAAGUGGAAUUUGUAGUGUAGCAGUGAAAUGCGUAGAUAUUACAAGGAACACCAAUGGCGAAGGCAGCUUGCUGGGCUACUCCUGACACUGAGGUACGAAAGCGUGGGGAGCGAACAGG